GUAAGGCCCUUCGGGGUACACGAGCGGCGAACGGGUGAGUAACACGUGAGCAACCUGCCCCCGACUCCGGGAUAAGCGGUGGAAACGCCGUCUAAUACCGGAUACGACACACCGCCUCAUGGCGGUGUGUGGAAAGUUUUUCGGUCGGGGAUGGGCUCGCGGCCUAUCAGCUUGUUGGUGGGGUAACGGCCUACCAAGGCGAUUACGGGUAGCCGGCCUGAGAGGGCGACCGGCCACACUGGGACUGAGACACGGCCCAGACUCCUGCGGGAGGCAGCAGUGGGGAAUAUUGCGCAAUGGGCGAAAGCCUGACGCAGCGACGCCGCGUGGGGGAUGACGGCCUUCGGGUUGUAAACCUCUUUUACCACCAACGCAGGCUCCCAGUUCUCUGGGGGUUGACGGUAGGUGGGGAAUAAGGACCGGCUAACUACGUGCCAGCAGCCGCGGUAAUACGUAGGGUCCGAGCGUUGUCCGGAAUUAUUGGGCGUAAAGAGCUCGUAGGCGGCGUGUCGCGUCUGCUGUGAAAGACCGGGGCUUAACUCCGGUUCUGCAGUGGAUACGGGCAUGCUAGAGGUAGGUAGGGGAGACUGGAAUUCCUGGUGUAGCGGUGAAAUGCGCAGAUAUCAGGAGGAACACCGGUGGCGAAGGCGGGUCUCUGGGCCUUACCUGACGCUGAGGAGCGAAAGCAUGGGGAGCGAACAGGAUUAGAUACCCUGGUAGUCCAUGCCGUACACGUUGGGCGCUAGGUGUGGGGACUUUCCACGGUUUCCGCGCCGCAGCUAACGCAUUAAGCGCCCCGCCUGGGGAGUACGGCCGCAAGGCUAAAACUCACAGGAAU
RNAcentral lists this ribosomal RNA (838 nucleotides) under Nocardiopsis sp. RNAcentral's name for it is "bacterial SSU rRNA". It matches the Rfam family "Bacterial small subunit ribosomal RNA", at positions 69 to 910 of the family's 1533-position model. Lineage: Bacteria; Bacillati; Actinomycetota; Actinomycetes; Streptosporangiales; Nocardiopsidaceae. The record is from RNAcentral.